This is a non-coding RNA of Prosthecobacter debontii, 71 nucleotides long. The record is from Rfam. Lineage: Bacteria; Pseudomonadati; Verrucomicrobiota; Verrucomicrobiia; Verrucomicrobiales; Verrucomicrobiaceae.
CCCUCCGUAGCUCAACAGUAGAGCACCCGGUUGAUAACCGGAAGACCGUGGAGCGUCACCACGCGGAGGGA